This 253-nucleotide ribosomal RNA is filed under the name uncultured bacterium. RNAcentral describes it as "partial 16S ribosomal RNA". It matches the Rfam family "Bacterial small subunit ribosomal RNA", at positions 524 to 776 of the family's 1533-position model. The record is from RNAcentral.
UACGGAGGGUGCAAGCGUUAUCCGGAUUCAUUGGGUUUAAAGGGUGCGCAGGCGGAGCUUUAAGUCAGUGGUGAAAUCUCCUCGCUCAACGAGGAAACUGCCAUUGAUACUGAAGUUCUUGAAUAUGGUUGAUGUGGGCGGAAUGUGUCAUGUAGCGGUGAAAUGCUUAGAUAUGACACAGAACACCGAUCGCGAAGGCAGCUCACAAAGCCAUUAUUGACGCUCAGGCACGAAAGCGUGGGGAGCAAACAGG